AGAAAGUUUUAAUAUGACAGGUCACGUAAGUUUCUGUCAUUGGGUCAUUAUUUUCGAGACUUUAACGUGUAAUCGACUCCGGCCCUUCCACUCCCUGCAAAUUAUUGUUUUUUCUCUGAAUUAAUCACGAUCCAAUCUAGAUCGUUUACUUUUGUUCUUCAUCUUCUCCAGUUUAGAGUAUACUCAAAACUAAGUUGAUUCCUUCUCUCCAUUGCUCACUAUUUCUCCGAAUCCUUGAACCACCGCAAUGAUGGUCCUAAAACGCUCCAAAUCGUCGAUCUCUGACGGUUUACUUCUACAAAGUUGCCGCCGGUCAAGUCGAUUCAGUUUUGAGAAGCCCAUAAUCCCGCUAAAGUAGGGAUGCUAAUUCGCCUUCAGCUGGUUCUGAUCGACGAAUAGGUAUGACAUAAUCUUCUCAAACCCUUAAAUUUGUUAGUCGCCAAUUUAUGUAACCUAACAUAUAUCACGCAUCCACAUGGCUCCAUUGUUCCUACAGUUCUUCCGGGAAUCCACGCAUUGCUUUUGAACCAGUCAAUCAGAAUCGAAAUGGGUGUUUCAGAAAUGCAUUAGUAGAGUUUUAUUUUGUGCCAGACCUUUCAAGUACUUAUCACCUUUUACCUUUUUCAUGUUUAUGUUCUAAUCACAUUUUUUUUGGAUGGCUUUUCCUAUGUUUCUGAAUUAAGAAGUAUGUGUUGUUUUCAUUUCACGUUGCAGGGUCUCUAAUGCCACAACCCUUUGAGGGUUUCUGUAUCAACUAUAACAAGAGUUUGAUAAACAGGUUUUUUCUUUGGUACAUAUCAUUCAUAUAUGUAUGUCUUUAAUAACCAUGCCUGUCAAUUGAUGGUUCAAACAGGUUCUUGAUGGGACUAACUGAACUCCUUCUUGAACCAUCUCUUACAUUCAAGAUUUUGACUCUAUUUAUGAACCUCAAAACAUGUAAAAGUUUUGUAUUAGUGUUUCUUCUACUCUAUAACCAUAUUUUCUCUGUUUCAUCACUUCAUUUUCUCUGCUAGCUGACGACGGGACAAUAUAACUUGCAAUUUAAGUUAUAUGCUGGAGAUUGUUGACCAACACAAACCAAGAAUUUCGCGGCAGUGGCAUGUGUUGCAUAAGGUACGAAAGCUUCAGAUCUGUCAGGUAUUUUCAGUUUCUGGAUUAUGUGUCCUCUUUUCUUUUUGUAUAAAAUUCUUUGAACCCCAAAUUCAUGUACCACAAGUUUGAAUCCUAUUAUUGCACUUUCCUUCAGAUAUGAUUCUGGGUUUAUAAGCUUUUAAUCGUUGAUUUUCAAAGAAUUUGUGGAAAUUACGUUUUUGUAUAACACAAUUUUGAAUUUUGGGCCAUUCCUUACCCUUCCAUACGUUGAUCUUGAUUUUUAUUUUAUUUCUAUGACUAUUACUUGCUACCAGAAUUUUGGAAGAGUUCCACGGAUAUAAUGAAAGAACUAAGGCCAAUCAAAGAAUCUGGCUCAGCCGAAGAUUUUGAGAAAGAGGCGCUGAUUCAGCGGUUUCGAGGCUGCUCAAGCUCAGGAAAAAAUUAUAACAAUGAAAGUAAGAUCGUACGGAGAUUUAGAACCUCCUCUGCAGCUGAAGAAAUCAUAAGCCGGUUCACUUUUUACACACAGCUCCUCAACAAUGGGAACUUUGUAGACGCUGCUUCUGGUGAGUAAAGUUUUCAUUUAAAAAAAGGCUCUGUUCAGAAUCAGAGAAAUAACAAAGAAAAAGUUUGACUUGAGAUUCAAGUUCCAUGAGAACUAAUGUUUGGUUUUUGAAUUGGUGAUUUAGGUAAGACGUUGCCUACUCUUGAUCCAUGCAUAGGGGGAGUUAUUGCGAACAUAGCUGAAAGUCGAUGCUGAAGAUAUAGACCGGGCGGUGAAAGCCACAAGCCUGCAAGGAAGGCCAUUGAUGAAGGACCAUGGCAAAAGAUAAUUGCUUAUGUAUAUAUAUAAUGUUCUUGGGUCUUGAAAUUAAUAUGAAAUUCAAUGUGAUAUGGACUGAUCUUUGUUUGGUUUUCAGGAACAGCGAAAAGCUUGCAGCUAUAGAGACAUGGGACGAUGGGAAGACUUAUGAACAAGCCAAAACAGCAGAGAUUCCAAUGCUCGCCAGAUUCUUUCGCUAUUAUGCUGGUAUACCAAAAUCUUGAGAAUACUAUCAAAUUUUCAUGCUUUUGUUGGUAAGUUUUGGUUUGAUGUGUAGGAUGGGCAGAUAAGAUUCGUGGGCUAACUAUUCCAGCCGAUGGAAACAAUCAUGUCCAGACACUGCAUGAACCAAUAGGCAUUGCUGGUCAGAACAUUCAAUGGAACUUUUAAUUUAAAGACAUAGUUAUAAUAUUUGUAUUAUAAUUUAAAGAAAUAAAAAUUACUAACAAUUUAAAGUAAACUAAACACUUUGAAAUAUUCAAUAAAAUUUAUUAUAUUUUAUAUACUUCGUUCAGUUACUAACCCGCCCGUAGGGCGAGCCAAUCCCUAGUUUAUCUUAAGAGACAGCCUAAGAGCAUGUUAAGAGACAGCCUAAGAGCAUGAUUAUUGCAAAGACUCAUAUUAGGGAUUCUUAUUACUUUUUAAUGCAUUUAAUAACAAAAAAUGAAAUAAGAGAUAAUGCUAAUAAAUCCACACAUUUUAGUGGU
Molecule: long non-coding RNA, 2622 nt
Organism: Brassica napus (rape)
Lineage: Eukaryota; Viridiplantae; Streptophyta; Magnoliopsida; Brassicales; Brassicaceae
Exons: 3
Source: RefSeq, a predicted model, not a curated record